Molecule: ribosomal RNA, 440 nt
Filed under: uncultured bacterium
Lineage: Bacteria
Description: partial 16S ribosomal RNA
Rfam family: Bacterial small subunit ribosomal RNA
Source: RNAcentral
CCUACGGGAGGCAGCAGUGGGGAAUAUUGCACAAUGGGGGAAACCCUGAUGCAGCGACGCCGCGUGAGUGAAGAAGUAUUUCGGUACGUAAAGCUCUAUCAGCAGGGAGGAAAAUGACGGUACCUGACUAAGAAGCCCCGGCUAACUACGGGCCAGCAGCCGCGGUAAUACGUAGGGGGCAAGCGUUAUCCGGAUUUACUGGGUGUAAAGGGAGCGUAGACGGCAGCGCAAGUCUGGAGUGAAAUCCCAUGGCUUAACCAUGGAACUGCUUUGGAAACUGUGCAGCUAGAGUGCAGGAGAGGUAAGCGGAAUUCCUAGUGUAGCGGUGAAAUGCGUAGAUAUUAGGAGGAACACCAGUGGCGAAGGCGGCUUACUGGACUGUAACUGACGUUGAGGCUCGAAAGCGUGGGGAGCAAACAGGAUUAGAUACCCUUGUAGUC